AUAAGGUGAACAGCAUGGUUCUCUUCGAUCAGGAAACUAACAACAAGCUUCGGUCUGAAGCUCCUAUGUUCAAGUUGAUCAAUCAAUCCCUUCUAUUCUGCUGGCGUUUUCAUUUACUGGUUCUUUUCGAUGAGUGGAGUAGGAAGCUAAAGUGACAGGAGUCGUUCGACGGCGAAACAGAGAGGUAUCUAAGGAGGAAGAGGAAGCGAAAGAAAAAAGUGAAAGGGGUCUUAGACCUCCUAAGCAAGAAUUUUCAAGCUUUGUGAAUGUUUGGAACUGAUUUAGUUCACGGAGUCACAACUGCUGUCUGAAAUUGAGAAGCGUCUUGCACCAAAAAACAUUACCCUAGACGUCAUUCACAGAUGUGACACCACCCUUCACAUUUAAGUAUCUAAGCUUUAUCUCAAUUUCUCCUGUUGGUAGUUUAUCAGUGAAUCCUUAACUCGAGACAGUACAAACCAGUUGGUAGUUUGUUCAUGACUUUCUUCAAAUAGCUCAAACCAGUUGGAAAAGUGCCCAUCAGCGACUACUGUUGGUGCAAGAAAAUCCAUCUCCUGAGUUUUCAUAGUACCUUCCAUGACGUUCAAGCAUAUGUGAUGGUUUGUUCUUUGUCAAUGAUAUAUGUUUCUGUGUCUGUAAAAACCUUUUUUCAAACUCUAAUCCCGGUGAAAAAAUCUUCAGUGUCGAUUCUAGAAGACGCCGGCUGUAAUGAUGUGAUCGCAGAAUAGCGUAUCGAUCAGGUGAACCAAUGCUCUAACUUUACCAUAGUUUUUCUCAUAACUGUCAUUUUCAGAGCUGAGUUGUAUGUUUUCUAAUGUAGUUUAAGCAUAAAGAAAUGGGAGUAUACGAAGAUAGAUAUUGUAUAUGUUGUAGUUCGCAUGGGAAACAAAUCAGAUAUGUUGUCUAUUUUAUUUAUCACUAGGGGUAUACCGGCGCUACGCGCCGGGUUUGGAUCUUUUGUUCUUUGUAUAUUUUGUUUUCUAAUAAGUUAAAAUUGGUCCAUUUAAUCCAUUUGACAGGGGUUAUUGUCAGUAUUGUGUUACUUUAUUUUUUAUCUGAUUAGGCGAAAGAGGAGUACCGUAAGUGAUUUCAUAGAUUAGUAUAAUAAGGAUAUAAUAUAUAGUUGAUAGCUGGACAAAAGUAAAUGUAGUACAAUGUAAAAGAUUAACUAAAGUCAAUGUUCCAAGCUGCACAAAAGUAAAUAUAGAAUAAUGUAAAAGGUUAAGUAAAGUUAAUGUUUCAAAAGAAACAUGUAAAUUCAUGUGUUUGUUUACUGUUUUUUUGUGCUAAUGUAGUCAACAAAUUCAUUCAUCUUCUUAAAGAAAUAACAAUCUUCGCAUGCGCUGUCCAUGUCAUGAUUGUGGCAAUCAGUUAGGGGUUCCAUUAUGGCUGUAUUUGUUAAAUAUUUUGUCUUCAAAAUGACUCUGAUUUCUUUUAGUGAAUUCUUAAUCAUGGUCAAACAUUGCACAGUUCUGACUUGAUUAGUUUUCCAGGUUAACUUAUCGAGGUACUUUUUUUCCUCACCGAAAUCGCCUCUGCACAACAUUAAUAUACCAUAAAUAUAUGUACCGUUGUCAAAGUUUCCAUCUGCAGAUUGACGAAGAUGGUUGAGUCUUUCGAUAGAUUUGCGGUGCUGGAAGUAUUGAAGUAACCCCUAGAUGUAGUGAUCCCUUGGAUGGCCAGUAGCCAAAAAUUCAUUCUUUAAAAUUUUGUAACUAUUUAGCAUAGUGAGUGGCUCUUCUACAAAAUAUUGGAGGUCGAGGUUCCUGAAAUAGAUGGUUGGGUCUGUGUGUGAGGAGUUUCCUUCACAGCUACCAAUACUUUCAUCUGAGUUAUAAUUGUUUUCUGAAUUCACUGAUCCCAUUUUGUUUUCUUUUUUUUCCUUUACUGGUUUUCGAAUAUGGUGGAUGAAUUGUAUUAUUAUGUUUGUUACGGGUUGAAGGCUAAUAUACUAUGUGCAUAGUUAAUUUAUUAAUUUUGUGGAAGCUGUUUUGUCUAAUUGAUGUUACAUUUGACUUUUUAUUUAAUUUUUAUGAUACAAUUUUAAUGAGCUAUUAGAUUACUAAAAAUGAUUGUUUUCAAUAAGUUAUGGUGAAUUGUUCAGUAACGACUCAAUAAUUUUGUUGGGUUGUUUUUGUUUGUUUGGAUGUGAAAUUUUCGUUCUCAUAUAAUUGUAAUGUUAGAUUUUAACAAUAAAUAGAAGAAGGCUUAUUUGUUUUGCAUUUUUGUAUUCUUAAAUGAAUUUACAAUUCAUUUUAUGGUAUUAGUAAAUUAAAGAUGCUUAUAAAUUUGAAAAUGAAAAUUUCUUGAAAGAAAGUGAUAUUAUUUUUGUGAUCAUUAUACCUGUUAUAUUUUAUGUGUGAUUUUGCCUUCAUUUGGUUGUAAUAUAUUUAUUGAUAAAGAAAGACUUAAACAAAUGUAUUAUCUAAAAAAUAAAAGGCUGAGGAACAGCUCGAAAACAGAGGUAUAGAAUAAUCAUAACUUUUCGUUUUAAUAAAAGGCGAGUGCUUCUACAAUGUCUGGGCCAAAUUUAUCUAUUGUAAUAGAAGCCCAUAUCACAUUCUUUAAAUUAGGCUAGCAUCGGGUACUAAAGGGAACGUUUGGGCCAUCUCUAUAAUUUUUAAAAAGUCUAAAUCAUGUUAGAGAAAUAAGAGAAGCGUCAGUCCAAAAUCGCAAGGAUGUUUGGUGUGGCGACACAUGUCGUGAAAUGCCCACCCCUCCUAGAUGAUGUGGCUUCAUAAGGAGAAACUAAAGUCUCAUUUAUUGUAUAAGAUUUGUAGUAACUUUUCUAAUUAAUAGUUAUGAGACUCAAAAUUUUCUACUCAUCUUUUUGGAAUUUUGUUAGGCAAGAAACUUUCCAUCAGCUUAAAUUAGGAGUCAGCUAUUGCCUUGCUGUAGUAAGAAAAAGAAAUGACUCGCUAAGUGCUUAACUUUCAGACUCACUAAAGCUUUGUUUAUCAUUCAUGUAUUAACAUUAUUUUUCUUUACUAUCACUUUGUUGAUAAUGAGGGUUAUGCAAUCAUAUGUGGGUUUGGUGAAGUCUUUGUUUAGGAUAACAGUAAUACCACCUUGAUUUAAAACUCAUCUCUGUUUCUAAGUGAUUGUAUAGGAUCCUCAUUCUCUGUUGUAAGAAUGAGAUCUUAAUAAUUAAUCAACUCUGGAAACAACAAAAUAAAAACAUCAAUUUGUUGACAGGGUUUUUGAUUUUCAGAUCAAACGAGAAAACAAAAAGAAGAUGAAAAAGUUAGUUGUUUGUAUGACACCAAAAAAGUACCCCUGAAAUUCAUAUAGAAAAACAACCUAAAACUAAAAACAGACCUUUAAAUUUGGUUAUUUAUAUAACCCACCAAUAAAAAAAUCACAAAUAAUUUCCUAACAUAUUGGAAUGAAUCUUUUUUUUGUAAAAGGGCAUUAUUGGAAUGAGUCUUUAAUUUUUUUGUUUCUUUAAUGUUUUGUUUUAUACGUUUGCAAGCCAUAACAACCACAAGUCUUUCUCCUUACUCAAAUUACAAAUCUGGGAAUUAGAAAAUCGAAAGUAGUAGCACAUUAAGCAAGAGAUUGCUAAAGUUAGAAAUUUUUUUUUUACUUUUUUAAAAAUAAUCUAUCAUUAGUAUAGCACGAAAACAAGAGAGACGCAAUAUAAAACAAUUUGAAAAAGCAUAUAAAG
Molecule: long non-coding RNA, 3667 nt
Organism: Brassica napus (rape)
Lineage: Eukaryota; Viridiplantae; Streptophyta; Magnoliopsida; Brassicales; Brassicaceae
Exons: 3
Source: RefSeq, a predicted model, not a curated record